CAAAACGGGCAUCAAGUAGUAUACCGAAGCUAUGGGUAAUAUUAAUAUUACGGUAGGGGAGCAUUCCAGCGGCAGCGAAGAUAUGACGUAAGUUGUGUUGGAGCUUCUGGAAAAGCAAAUGUAGGCAUAAGUAACGAUAAGGCAGGCGAGAAACCUGCCCGCCGAAAGGAUAAGGUUUCCUGAUCAACGCUAAUCGGAUCAGGGUUAGUCGGGGCCUAAGGAGAACCCGAAGGGGAAAUUCGAUGGACAACUGGUUAAUAUUCCAGUACUUUUUAUAACUGCGAUGUGGGGACGGAGUAGUGACACUGCCGCGAUCUGACGGAAUAGAUCGUUAAAGACUGUAGGUAUUGGGAAGGUAGGCAAAUCCGCCAUCCUAGCUGAACGUCGAUAGUACCGCGAAGCUUCGGCCAAGUGGAUAGCGCAGGUAAUCAGACUUCCAAGAAAAACCGCUAAGCUUCAGGUUAUAAAAACCCGUACCGCAAACCGACACAGGUAUCCGGGAAGAGAAUUCUAAGGCGCUCGAGUGAAUCAUGGCUAAGGAACUCGGCAAAAUGGCCCUGUAACUUCGGGAGAAGGGGCGCUGACAGCAAUGUCAGCCGCAGUGAAAAGGCCCAGGCGACUGUUUAACAAAAACACAUGGCUUUGCAAAAUCGAAAGAUGAAGUAUAAGGCCUGACACCUGCCCGGUGCUGGAAGGUUAAGAGGGGAUGUUAGUCGCAAGGCGAAGCAUUGAAUUGAAGCCCCAGUAAACGGCGGCCGUAACGAUAACGGUCCUAAGGUAGCGAAAUUCCUUGUCGGGUAAGUUCCGACCUGCACGAAUGGUGUAACGAUCUGGGCGCUGUCUCAGCCAUGAGCUCAGUGAAAUUGUGGUCCCGGUGAAGACGCCGGGUACCCGCAACGGGACGGAAAGACCCCAUGCACCUUCACUACAAUUUAACAUUGACAUUGGAUACAGGAUGUGUAGGAUAGGUGGGAGACUAUGAAGUGGCGUCGCCAGGCGUCGUGGAGUCAACGUUGAAAUACCACCCUUUCUGUAUUCGGUGUCUAACCCCUCAGGGGGGACAUUGUUUGAUGGGUAGUUUGACUGGGGUGGUCGCCUCCAAAAAGGUAACGGAGGCUUUCAAAGGUAAGCUCAAUACGCUUGGUAACCGUAUGAUGAGUGCAAUAGCAUAAGCUUGCUUGACUGUGAGGCAGACAAGCCGAGCAGGGUCGAAAGACGGAUAUAGUGAUCCGGUGGUUCUGCAUGGAAGGGCCAUCGCUCAAAGGAUAAAAGGUACGCUGGGAUAACAGGCUGAUCUCCCCCAAGAGCUCGAAAG
Molecule: ribosomal RNA, 1315 nt
Filed under: metagenome
Description: bacterial LSU rRNA
Rfam family: Bacterial large subunit ribosomal RNA
Source: RNAcentral